This is an RNA transcript of Acinonyx jubatus (cheetah), 4981 nucleotides long. RefSeq lists it as uncharacterized. NCBI's taxonomy places the organism in Eukaryota, Metazoa, Chordata, Mammalia, Carnivora, Felidae. The transcript has 10 exons. The record is from RefSeq and is a predicted model, not a curated record.
GCCGCCCCCGCCGCCCCCCGUGAUUCUGGCCCAUAGUCCCGUAAGCCCCCAGCGGACACCAGCCUCAGCCGCCAGACGUGGGAGGGAAUGAACUUCCAGAUGAUUCUACCCCCCGACUGCCUUUGAGCUGCCAGCCGAGCCCCCCGGGGAUGUCACGGAGCAGAGAGCAAUGGUCCCUACUGUGCCUGCCUGAGUCCCCGACCCACAGAAACCGCGAGAAAAAAUACAAGGUGAUUAUCGUUUUGAGCCACCGGGUUUGGGGACAGUUUGUUAUGCAAAAUGUAACCGGAACAGAUGGAAUUCGAUACUAAGAGGCGGUGCCUGUGUGAGGGACACGAGGGGCAGUAGCUGGCCUCUGCGGGUCCCUCCUUCCUGCCCCCCGGGAGGAACGGGGGACUUAAGUGACGGAGACCUGGGGGCUCUGGCCCCUCUCUCUUUCCGCCUCACAUCACGUGGGUCUGCUCCGUGGGCAGCAAGGCUGCUGUCCCAGUGCAACCUUGACCUUCCCAGGGGUAGACCUGCUCAGAUCUGGGGCCCGGGGUUCAUCGGCCUGUGACCCUCAUGUCUAUGACGUAGGCGAUCUGAAUCCAGCCUUUUCAGUGAUGGAGGCCACACUUCAGUUUUUGCCUGCAGAGCUCGUCCACUUCCUCAAGGGUUCAGAACUCCAGCGGAGUGAAUACUGGGCCCCCGUUGAAUUGUGCCCCCAAAGAUAUGUCCGAGUCCCCACGGAAAAGGGUCAUUACAGGUGUCACUGAGUGAAAGACCUUGAGAUCAUCCUCGAUGCACUGGGGGGGGGCCCUCAAUCGGGGGACAAGUGUGCUUGUCCGAAGAGGAGAGCACCCAGACGGAGGGGAGGGGCCACGUGGAGAUGGAGGCAGAGGCUGGAGGGAGCCCGGCCCCAGGGCCAUCUUGAUUUCAGACUCUGGCCCCCAGUACUGAGAGAGAGCACCUGUCUGUUGUUUCAAGCCCCCAGCCUGUGGUCAUUUGUCAAGGCUGCCCCCCUACGUCCCCUGAAGCCCCAGCUGAGAAAGCCUUGGACGUAGCACACCCCGGGGGGAAAAGCCCCGGAUGGAGACUGGGUCGGGGGUCACCAGCACAGAGAAGGAGGGAGACCGGGAGAGGAGGGGAGCCUGGAGCACGGCUUGCAGGUUGGAAGAGGAGGUGGGGACAGCAAGGGGGCUGGGAGAUGCCUGGAACCCCGCUGCCCACUGUUGACAGGCAGCUCAGGGCCGUAGGAACCCCUGGGUUUGUUUGAGUCCUGGCCUGGGCGCCCGUUACUUGGGUAACCUUGGUUCGUUAACUUCUCUGUGCCUCAGUGUACCUAUCUGUAAAAUGGAGGCCAUAACACCUGGUGCUUUUUUUAAAUGUUUGCUUUUGAGAGAGAGAGAGAGAGAGAGACGGGGAGACAGAGAGACGGAGCACAAGUUGGGGAGGGGCAGAGAAAGAGGGAGACACAGAGUCCGAAGCAGGCUCCAGGCUCCGAGUCGUCAGCACAGGGCCCGACCUGGGGCUUGAACCCACGAACCGCGAGAUCAUGACCUGAGCCGAAGUCGGACACUUAACCAGCUGAGCCACCCGGGUGCCCCAGCACCUGCCUUCUUGGGUUGAGAGUCAGUGCUUGGAGAGUAUUUUGAACAGUGACGGGUGGGUCACGAAGCUCAGUGGCAUUAGCCAGCUUCACUGCUCCGCGGCCCCGUUCUCGUCGGUGCGGGUGGACCAGAAACUGAUUUAAACCACGGACAACAACGGGCCCCAGCUUCUUCCCGGGGACGAGAACUGGGUUCUUGGCCGAGUCGCAGCCCUGACCAGCCGCGUGAUAUUGAGACUCACAGGGCUCUGCCUGCAGAGCAGAACCUGCCUUUGGUUGUCGGCACCACCAGCUUUCUCACUGCACGACUCCGAGCCUCAGUCUCCCCAUCUGUAAAACGGGAAUGCACGGUGAGGGCCUGGCCGGUGCUCAUCCCUCCACAGAUGGGGUCAGGGGCGCUUCCCGACCAGUACAUGGAUGUGCAGAUGUGCUCAGACAUUGGCACACGCGCACUUUGCUGCCUUCUUCGAGCGGCCUGCCUGGGACGCUUCUCUGCCCGCUCGCCGCUUCUAGACUCCUCUGGACUCCCCGGCCAGGUGGAGGCCGGAGGGUCCUGCCGGGCUGUGGCCUCCCUUGGCGGAUGCGGUCGCCCCGAACCUCAGUUUCCCCAUCCGCAGACAGCGUCCCCUCCAGGGGUUUCUCGCGGCCACAGGAAGCAUCUGGAGUUCUGGGUCGAUUCUGAAGCCACAGCCUCUGUCGGGACGUCAUCCGGAACUCCGGCUGGGUGGUUCCUGAGUCUACACAGCGUGGGCGUCGGCUGUGGCAGCUGCUGGAGGGUGUGCUCUGAGGCCGAGCGUCUAGGGGGGCUCGCGUCCCAGCACCCCCCCUCCCCAACCCCCGUGGAAGGCCCCGCUUGGGGGAAAGCAGGCAUAUGGAACCCAUUUGGGAAAUUCUUUCUGCAUAAACCACUUUUUCCAGAGAGCAUUGUCAAGACUUAUUAGGGGAGGAACCUUGGCUGUUCCCAUCACGGGACCUUCCGGCCUCACGCGAGAAAUGGUCAGUAGCCGCGUCCCCGUGGAUGGUUCGGAGAGUCGGGAAGACGGGCGUGUGAGAUGCCACGUCAGGAAGAAGAGGCAGAGUGGAUUCACGGAUUCGUUCUCUUUUCUGGGGAGAGUAAAUGGAACUGUCACCCCUUUCUCAAGGGCAGAUGCAAACGGUCUUUUCAAAUCAGUUUGGAGGAAAAUAAAUGAGCCCAUGCUGGGGCUUCAAUAAAUCUUUGCGUAAAGCCACAAGGGACAAAGGGAGCUUUGGGCAUUUCUCCCCCUCCGGGAGGGUCUCCCGGUGAAAUAUUUGUCGUGGCCGUGCUCCGCGUGUGACCGGGGUCCGUGUCUCUGAGCCAGGACCUGUCUCCAGGAGGCCAUCUGUGUGCUGACCUUCCGCCCAGCGGCUCGAGGACCCCCACCCCGGCUGCAGGCGACUCUGGUCCCCCAAGGAGGAUCAUCUCUCCUGGCCUCCCUGCUGGGGACCGGAGGUUGGUGGCAGCAGUGUGGCUCGUCGCUUCCUGGCCCGUCUCCCGUGCUGUCCCCACCCACUGGCCAAAUGGUGGCCUGGUCUCCAUCCGCACUCUUCUCCCUCUGUCUCCCUGACACUCUACAUCCAGUGUCCCAGCCCCCAGCACGUUGCCCAGGCGGCUUGGCACCUGGGGUGACCUUCACCUACCAGACCCCCCUGGAGGAGCCUUGCUCUCCCGUGAGGGAUGACCCCCGAGGCUCCUCGACGCCGUGAUGCCUCCCUUGAUUUCCCUUCCUGAUGCAGUGGACCUCCAUUCUUUCUAGGCGGUGGGCAUGUUGUGGACACUUGCCCUUCCCUGUGAUUUCCACUUGGCACCUCUCUGGCGUUUUCACGGGUUCCUCCACUCUGGGUCUGUCUGAUUCCUUUCUUAGAGGGAGGUCGGGAGUAACAGGCCGGGCUGAGCGUGGCACGCGUGCGCUCCAUGGGCCACGGGGACCCGUGGAGCCGGAGGCGACAGCAUCCGUGGGCCAGGAGGGGGCCUCAGUGCCCAGCGGGAGAGGAGAGUCCCUCCCUGACUCCAGGAUGCAUGGAGUGGACCACUUGUCCACCCCUGCCUGGCCGUCUGGACUGGGGUAAUCGUGUCCCCUCACCCCCCCCCCCCCCAAAUUCAUACCCACCACAUCUCAGAACGUGAACUUAUUUGGAAGUAGGGUCUUUGCCGCAGAUGUAAUUAAAGUCCGGGUCUUGAGACGAGAUCAUCGUGGCUUAGGGAGGGCCCCAAAUCCCACAAGUGUCUUUAUAAAGGACAGAGGUGAAGACCCACGCACACACAGAGACCGUGUGAGAUCGGGGCAGAGAUGCGAGCGCUACGGCCGCAGCCCGGGGAUGUCCGGAGCCCCCGGAAGUUGUAGGGCGCGGGAAGGACCCUCCCCGAGAGCAUCUGGAGGGCGCAGGGCCCCUCCCACCCUUGAUUUCAGAUCUCUGGCCUCCAGACCGGCAGAGAAUCAGUCUCUAUUGUUUUAAGCGACCAGCUGUGGGGUUCUUUGUUACCGCAGCCCCGCGACACUCAGACGACAUCCGUUACCAACAGGACUGAAGGAAGUGGGCGGAGAUUUCCCUAGUUAGCGGUCUCCCUCUCCGAGAGGGUCGGCCUGCCGUCCCAUUGCUGCUGUCCACACCACCGUGCUGGCUGAGACAGGAUUGCCACGGGCUCGGCCCUCUCCCACCCCACAGCCGCCCUCACAGACAGGGGCCGCUGCGACCUCUUCCACGGGCAGGGAAACUGAGGCUCAGAGAGGCUGGGGAAGAGCCACAGCUAUGGCGCUUGGCCACUGGGUUGGCUCCAGCUCAUGGCCUCUGCCCCCGGCGACUUACUCCAGGCCCUUGAGCGCCACUCGAUCCAGAGCCGACCCUCAUCAUCUGUUCCUGGGGCUGCGAACAGCGCUUGUAGCCGUGGAACCCUCAGGGUGGGAGCCCACGGACUUUCCAGAACAUUUGCCCGAAGCAGUGAGGAUUCACUGAAUGAAGGAAUCCCUGAUGAUGAACUGAUGAAUGAAGCCGGUCUGGUGGGCUCCAGCGGUAGAGACCACUUGUGACAUGCGGCCAUUCUUUCCCCCGGGUUUCUGCACGUGGAUAUACUUGAAAAACAAACACAAAAUUGAGGCCAAAGUGUGUUUAUCGUUCAAUAGACUUCUGGUUUCUUGUUUCAUUCUGUUUUUGGUUUUUUUUUGGUAAAAAUGGCAUGAUUCCUGUGUCCCCAUUACCUGACCUAUUCCCUUAAACAUGACUCUUGAUGGAUGUAAUUUGUUCUGGAAGCGGGACUUGGACGCAUGGUGGAUGGGAGGGAGGGCGCCAGGGUCGGGGGGACAGUGUGAGCGGAGGCCUGACCAAGGGAACUUCUCCAGGAUCACUGGAGUAGGGUAUAAUGGGGGUGGUGGGCAA